CAAGAGACCUCCACUUCUAAACAGGUGGUGACCACUGGCAUGGAACCCACAGGGCUGGGACAAUGCAUCUGUCACCCCGGAGCCUUGGGAGGCUUGGGGAAUUCUCCCUGUGUUCUCGGCAGCCCCCAGCCUCUCCCACCCCACACUAGCCUUCCCAGGAGGCUGCAGCCUACACUCCCCAAAAUGUGUCAUUAAAAACACACAUUUGCUGAGGGGAAUCCGGGCUGCCGUGUGUCUGCUGCGAGAUAUGUCGUCUGCUGCAGCUGGGGUGGAGACGGCCGGCGUCGGCCACAGAGAGGGGACCUGUCUGAAUCCUGGCCUGAGAGCCAGGUGGUUCCAGGUCUUUGAAGCCUCAAAAGCCUGACCAGGCCGGGAGAAAUCCAGGCUAUGUAGUGAGGGGCGUGGAGCUGGAGAGCGUGCCGGCUUUGCAGGGCUGAGACCUCAGGAGCAGGGCCUCAGGGCCUCAGGGCCGCAGCUCGCUUGGGUGAGAAGAGUAUUUUUCACCUUAUGUCUGGAGUGAGGAUGGAGGUGGGGCCGGGUGCUAGGAACUGGGGCAGAGGACAGAGGAAAGAAUCGGGAGGUGGCAAGUGGGAAGCAAGCGGAGGAUAUGGGGUUGGGGGGCAGACAAGCAGUCACCCUUUGGGGGUGUAGCUUCCUGGUUUCCGUCAGGAAGGAGGAGAUUCAGGCCCUGACCUGCUUCCCUUCCGUGCAGAUGUGAGGCCUCACCUUCUGUCUCUGUCCUCCGGCCCUACCUGGCCACACCAUGCUGUGUCCUCCUGUACAGGCCCCCCUCCUUGGCUAAUGUGCAAUUUCCAGGAAGGUGCAGUCGGACCUGAGAAAUGGCUAACCCUGGCCUGGGACCCCAGCUGGCUACAGCCUUCUCCAACCACUUGAGGCCCCCUUAUGCUUACUAGGUGCCAGGCACUGGGCUGAAGUCCUGAUCUUUCCGCUCAGUAGGGGAAAUGCUAUGACAGGUGUAUGCUGAGGUCCUGGGACCCUCGGGAUGUAGGAACACCUCACUCAUGGGGGAAGGGGGAAAACCUCUCCAAAAGUCAAGGCUAAGGUCAUUCAGGAAGGAUGAAGAGGUGUGGGCAGGUAGCAGGGUAUGUGGGUUUUAUUGUUUUUUGUUUGUUUGUUUGUUUUGUUUUUAAUUAAUUUUUUUUUUUUUUUUGGCUGUGUUGGGUCUUCGUUUCUGUGGGAGGGCUUUCUCUAGUUGCGGCGAGUGGGGGCCACACUUCAUCGUGGUGUGUGGGCCUGUCACUGUUGCGGCCUCUCUUGUUGCGGAGCGCAGGCUCAGUAGUUGUGGCUCACGGGCCAAGUUGCUCCGCGGCAUGUGGGAUAUUCCCAGACCAGGGCUCGAACACGUGUCCCCUACAUUGGCAGGCAGACUCUCAACCACUGCGCCACCAGGGAAGCCCCAGGGUAUGUGUUUUUAAUGGAAGGAAGAAUGUGGCAGGGAACUGGUGGUCUUGUCCCACAUGGCAGGAGAGAGAGAGCAGGCAGGGGAGAGGCAGCUGGAGUCUCGGAUGCCCGAGAUGAGGUCCAGAGCCCAAAAGGACUUUGGACUUGAUCCUGAGGGCUGUAGGAAGCCAUGGAAGGGUUUUAAAUCGAGAAUGCUUUGUAUUUUAGAGAGCAGAAAAUGGAUUAGAGGGGGAAGCCUGGAGGCAGGUAUGUGUCCUUGGCAUUAUAGUACAGUAGACUGGGCAAGAGAUGAUGGUGGCCGGCACCAGGGGCAAGGCCUGGGGAGAAGAAGGGCGGCAGGGAUGAGAUGGUAAGUGCUGGGUUCAAAGGAAAGGGGUUGGGAUUUACUUCACUGGAGGUUCCCAGCCCAGGAAUGUUGAGAAAAUAAGGAAGUGAGCCUCUGCUGGAGGUGCGGGUGGGUAGGAAAGGGGCUGAGCCGGAGGGACGGGACUUAGGAGGAGUCUGGAUCGGGGCCGGUGGGGAUGGAGAACAAAGGUGGAUUCAGAAGCAUUUAGGAGCUAGCGCCAGCUGCGCUUGGUGAUUACGUGGCCGUGGAAGAGCCCUGUGUGCCCCGGCUCUGCCGUCGUGCAGCCUGAAUUUUCCUGGCAUUCCACUUAAUCUGGGAGGUCUUCUUGGAGGAGAUGGGCAGUAUACAGAGGUAGAGCACCCGCUUGGUAGAGAAGCUCUAGAGGCUGAUCCAGGGAAGGUGCAGAGCAGGGGCAGAGAGAGAGCUGGACAGGUGACGUCCAAAGUGGAGUCCUCCAGGGACAUGGGGCCCAGCACUCUCGUUUUACAGAAAAGGAAACUAAGGUCAGAGAAGCAAACUGCCCUACCUAAUGCCGUACAGAAAAAAAUGACCAAGUAGUGGGGGCCAGAGCCCACCUCUCCCAAUUUCCAGUAAGUACCCUCCCUUCCCACCAUCCGGCCAGAGGAAAGGUGACAGGUACGGGAUGAGCAGUGCAGAGAGGACCGAGAGGUGGAGCCUGAAGGCUAGAGACGGAGGGGGCAGAGCCGAGAGAGGCUCCCUGUUUCUGGGAUGCCAGGAGUGGAGUCAGGAGCUGCUCAAGACCAGCCUACCCUGGGCUUUGGGGAUGGGCAGCCAGUGUGAAAACAGGCUUGGAGGAGAGCCGUCCAGGUGUCCCUGGCCACUUGCUCCUCAGUGGGAGAAGCCAACACCCAGCUCCCUGAUUCAUCCCCAACCCCCAACCUAUCCUCCUAGGGCUCAGGGAGAGAUGGGACCAGAGCAGGCCCCACCGCCACCGCUCCCCGGGGGCUUCCGCACUGCCAGAGAGCAGGGCCCGCCCAGCCCGUCUGGAAGAUCCCGGGCUUCCACUCUGGCUCCUUCUGGGGCUCUUCCCAGGCUGCCGCGCCCCCUCCUCUCCCAGGCACUGUGCUCACCCGCCCCAGGCGCCGGGCGCCAGCCCCACAGCCCAUCAUUAACCAGCUCCAUGUGGGGAGUUGAGGAGGGUGUGCGUUAGCCAAGAGGAAAACAUUGGCAGUUGCUGUGACCCCAGAUGAGGCGUGGAGACGCCUGGGUUCGGACAGUAGCAAUUAGCCCCUGGCUGUGGGAUCAUGGGAUGUUAGCACCUCUGCUGGUAAGGUGGAUGUGGAGGGGGCGCAAGGCUCCAGGACACCUGGGGCCGUCCCGAUAGGCACUGCUCCCAGAGAGAAUCCCACCAGGCAAAGCCCCUGCACUGCAGGAGGCCGGGGGGGCAUUAGUGCUGAGCUAACAGUGGCACCGGGCCGGGCUGCUCAGCCUGGACUCGGCCCUCACGCCUUCUUGCCAUGUCCAGACCCAGUGAGGGGGGGCUAGGGGUGCAGGGACGAGAGCUGGGCCAGCUGCCACUUCUCUGUUUCCUCACUGAGCCCUCUGCCCUGGCUCGCCCCGGACCCCAUCCUGGAUGUAGAGGGGAGGCUGGAGGCUGGAGACGCAGCCUGGGCACUUGGGGAGCUCCAGAACUAAUAGGGAAACGUGCCCAGGGCAUAGAUACAAGACAGGACAAGCUCAAAGGACUUCAGUGAGAGCCCUGCUCAUGUGGGUUCUUGCUGGCAGAACGAUUGGGUCCAGGCGACACUGAUUGGGAAAAUCUUCCCAGAGGAGGGGACCGUAGGAAGGGGAUUCCUUCCGAAUCUCACCCUCUACCUCACUAGCCUCUCCCCCGUGAGGUUAGGCCGUGACACCAGAAAGGGAGGAGCUAGGCAGCCCUGGGAGUUGACAUUUGGAGAAGUCGCUGCACUGGGAGGAGGGGACCUAUAACCUUGAGGUCACUGUGCUGACUCAGCAGGGUUUCGUCUGGAGGCUCUCCCCCCUCCAAUGGGUGAGUCAUUCCCACUUACCACUUAGCUGGUUUCUCACCGGAUUUCCUGUUCCUUUCUACCAGUUCCAGGGCAGGGAACAGGGGAGCAUCCCUGGAAAGCCCUAGAGAUGGAUCCCAAAGGAUGCCGAUUUCAGAGAGGCCCCUUCUGCAGGGCCCAGUGCCUCCCACCCAGGCCAGGCCUGCCACUUCAGCCCACCCAACUGAGCGCACCCGGGCAGAGUCUCAGGAAAGGAAUGGGGCACCGAAGAAGAGGUCCGUGACGUCUCGGGGGCAGGCCUGAUGCCUGCCUUGUUGGCUCAGCACUUCUGAGAAGCCACGAAGGCAGCCCAAACUGCCCGACCCCAGCGCCAGUGGGGAAACUGAGGCACGUAUGCACAGGUCCCCGGGACCUGGGUCCCAGACCCUGGAGCUCAUAGGGUGGCCAGGGAGAAAAUAGGCAGGGCAUGAGGUCAGGAAAAGAAACAGACUCAUUCUUUGGUAUCCUUAGGAUGCAAGAACUCCUCUGCUGGGACUUCACUGGUGGUCCAGUGGUAAAGAAUCUGCCUUCCAAUGCAGGGGAUGCUAAGAUCUCACAUGCCAUGGGACAACUAAGCCCCCAUGCCGCAACUACUGAGCUCACGUGCCUCAACUAGAGAUCCCACGUGCCGCAAACUACAGAGCCCACACACUCUGGAGCCCACACGCCACAACUAGAGAGAAGCCUGCAUGCCGCAAUGAAGAGCCCAAGCGAAGAUCUCGCGUGCCACAACUAAGACCAGACACAGAGAAAAAUAAUUAAUUAAUUAAAUA
Molecule: long non-coding RNA, 4568 nt
Organism: Orcinus orca (killer whale)
Lineage: Eukaryota; Metazoa; Chordata; Mammalia; Artiodactyla; Delphinidae
Exons: 2
Source: RefSeq, a predicted model, not a curated record